Molecule: ribosomal RNA, 589 nt
Filed under: Coxiella burnetii
Lineage: Bacteria; Pseudomonadati; Pseudomonadota; Gammaproteobacteria; Legionellales; Coxiellaceae
Description: bacterial SSU rRNA
Rfam family: Bacterial small subunit ribosomal RNA
Source: RNAcentral
CCCCUGUUUUGCAAACCAGGGAUAGAGACCCUGGUAGUCCACGCCGUCAACGAUGAGAACUAGCUGUUGGGAAGUUCACUUCUUAGUAGCGAAGCUAACGCGUUAAGUUCUCCGCCUGGGGAGUACGGCCGCAAGGUUAAAACUCAAAGAAAUUGACGGGGGCCCGCACAAGCGGUGGAGCAUGUGGUUUAAUUCGAUGCAACGCGAAAAACCUUACCUACCCUUGACAUCCUCGGAACUUGUCAGAGAUGACUUGGUGCCUUCGGGAACCGAGUGACAGGUGCUGCAUGGCUGUCGUCAGCUCGUGUCGUGAGAUGUUGGGUUAAGUCCCGUAACGAGCGCAACCCUCGUCCUUAGUUGCCAGCGAGUCAUGUCGGGAACUCUAAGGAGACUGCCGGUGAUAAACCGGAGGAAGGUGGGGAUGAUGUCAAGUCAUCAUGGCCCUUAUGGGUAGGGCUACACACGUGCUACAAUGGGCAGUACAAAGGGUUGCCAAGCCGCAAGGUGGAGCUAAUCCCAGAAAACUGCUCUUAGUCCGGAUUGGAGUCUGCAACUCGACUCCAUGAAGUUGGAACCAAGUAAAAUCCCA